RNAcentral lists this ribosomal RNA (275 nucleotides) under uncultured bacterium. Its description in RNAcentral is "partial 16S ribosomal RNA". It matches the Rfam family "Bacterial small subunit ribosomal RNA", at positions 338 to 610 of the family's 1533-position model. The record is from RNAcentral.
CCUACGGGUGGCAGCAGUGAGGAAUAUUGGGCAAUGGACGCAAGUCUGACCCAGCCAUGCCGCGUGCAGGAUGAAGGCGUUCUGCGUUGUAAACUGCUUUUAUCUGGGAAGAAACCUGAGUAUUCUUAUUCAGCCGACGGUACCAGAUGAAUAAGCACCGGCUAACUCCGUGCCAGCAGCCGCGGUAAUACGGAGGGUGCAAGCGUUAUCCGGAUUCACUGGGUUUAAAGGGUGUGUAGGCGGAUAUUUAAGUCAGUGGUGAAAUCUCCAGGCUC